CGGAUUGAAGGCUGAAAUUCGCCUUCCAUGAAGCCGGAAUUGCUAGUAAUGGCAGGUCAGCAUACUGCCGUGAAUACGUUCCCGGGCCUUGUACACACCGCCCGUCACACCAUGAGAGUUGGGAAUACCCGAAGCCUGUGAGCUAACGUAAGAGGCAGCAGUCGAAGGUAGAAUCAAUGAUUGGGGUGAAGUCGUAACAAGGUAGC
RNAcentral lists this ribosomal RNA (206 nucleotides) under uncultured bacterium. Its description in RNAcentral is "partial 16S ribosomal RNA". It matches the Rfam family "Bacterial small subunit ribosomal RNA", at positions 1294 to 1500 of the family's 1533-position model. The record is from RNAcentral.